AGCGCGUCCUGUGCGCCGUGUGCUCCUCCCCGAGCCGUCUGCACCUCCGUGCUGCCCUCCUCCGCGCCGCCCCACCGCCGCCCUCACCAUGUUCUUGCCCACGCCGCCCUGCUCCCCGGCCGCCCCCGCUCCUCCGUGACGCCCUGCUCCCAGCGCUGCCGCCUUCUCCUCUGCGCCGCCAUGCUCCCAGCGUCGCCGCCUGUUACUCUGCGCCUCCCUGCGCCCUGCGUCGCCGCCUGCUCCUCCGCGCCGCCCUGCUCCCAGCGUCGCCGCCUGCUCCUCCGUGCCGCUCCCCCCGUCGUCGUCGCCGCCCCUCCCCGUACGCUAGCCCGAGCUGGCCCUCCCAUCGGCUCCGCCGCCCCUCCCAUCAGCGCCGCCCCCCCCCUCCCCAUCCGCUAGCCCGAGCCGACCCCUAACUGCUCCGCCGCGCCACCUUUCAUCCACCGGGAGGUCCGUCUGCUCCGGCGGCAAGGUGCUCCUCGUCUGCAACUUCAGUAUAUCCGAGGAGGAUGUGGAUUUGGUCCAGUUUGCAAUAUGUUCGUCUAGUUCUGAACUUUUGAUUGUGGUUGUAACCGUGGUCUUUAUUGUUGAUGAAUUGGUCAUACUGUGAUGGGCCCUUCUUUUGCUCUCCAUGCAAGCUACAGGGUUUGGUUUUGAUAACUUAAGCAAUCUGGUCAUGUGCUUGCUAAUGAGCUUGUUAGGCUGCCUGCUCUUUCUUGUUGUUGCCUAAUAAGUGAAGAGGAGCACAAAUGUUCCAACUUGUACUAGUCUUCUUCCUGGGUGAAAAAGGAAAAGACACUGAUGGCUUGUUCAA
Molecule: long non-coding RNA, 814 nt
Organism: Hordeum vulgare subsp. vulgare (domesticated barley)
Lineage: Eukaryota; Viridiplantae; Streptophyta; Magnoliopsida; Poales; Poaceae
Exons: 2
Source: RefSeq, a predicted model, not a curated record